GAUGAACGCUGGCGGCGUGCUUAACACAUGCAAGUCGAACGGAAAGGCCCUGCUCUUGUGGGGUGCUCGAGUGGCGAACGGGUGAGUAACACGUGAGUAACCUGCCCUUGACUUUGGGAGAACUUCACGAAACUGGGGCUAAUACCGGGUAGGAGCUCCUGCUGCAUGGUGGGGGUUGGAAAGUUUCGGCGGUUGGGGAUGGACUCGCGGCUUAUGAGCUUGUUGGUGGGGUAGUGGUUUACCAAGGCUUAGACGGGUAGCCGGCCUGAGAGGGGGACCGGGCACAAGGGUACUGAGAUAGGGAGCAGACUCGGAUGGGCGGCAGCAGGGGAGAAUAUGACACAGCGGGCGGAAGCCUGAGGCAGCAAUGCCGCGAGCGGGAAGACGGGCUUCGAGUGGUAAACCGAUUUCGCCUGUAAUGAACCGUGAGUGACGGUAAUGGGUAAAAAAGCACCGGCUAACUACGUG
Molecule: ribosomal RNA, 468 nt
Filed under: uncultured bacterium
Lineage: Bacteria
Description: partial 16S ribosomal RNA
Rfam family: Bacterial small subunit ribosomal RNA
Source: RNAcentral